This 445-nucleotide ribosomal RNA is filed under the name uncultured bacterium. Its description in RNAcentral is "SSU rRNA". It matches the Rfam family "Bacterial small subunit ribosomal RNA", at positions 26 to 518 of the family's 1533-position model. The record is from RNAcentral.
AGAGCGAACGCUGGCGGCAGGCCUAACACAUGCAAGUCGAGCGCCCCGCAAGGGGAGCGGCAGACGGGAGAGUAACACGUGGGAACGUACCCUUUGGUUCGGAACAACACAGGGAAACUUGUGCUAAUACCGGAUAAGCCCUUACGGGGAAAGAUUUAUCGCCAAAGGAUCGGCCCGCGUCUGAUUAGCUUGUUGGUGAGGUAACGGCUCACCAAGGCUACGAUCAGUAGCUGGUCUGAGAGGAUGAUCAGCCUCACUGGGACUGAGACACGGCCCAGACUCCUACGGGAGGCAGCAGUGGGGAAUAUUGGACAAUGGGCGCAAGCCUGAUCCAGCCAUGCCGCGUGGAUGAUGAAGGCCCUAGGGUUGUAAAGUCCUUUCGACGGGGAAGAUAAUGACGGUACCCGUAGAAGAAGCCCCGGCUAACUUCGUGCCCGCACGCCGC